This is a long non-coding RNA of Carassius auratus (goldfish), 448 nucleotides long. RefSeq lists it as uncharacterized. The transcript has 3 exons. NCBI's taxonomy places the organism in Eukaryota, Metazoa, Chordata, Actinopteri, Cypriniformes, Cyprinidae. The record is from RefSeq and is a predicted model, not a curated record.
AAGAAGAAGAAGAAGAAGAAGAAGACGUCUAGUCUGAACGAAGCGCAGUUCAUUUCGCAGGACGGAGAGAGUGGAGCGAAUUUGCCAAGAUGCAGUUUAGAUUUAAUUAUUAUGAUUAUUUUAUUAUUUGUUCCACUUCUCCUUCAGCAGUUAAGAGAACUCGUGUGAAUGAUAAGCACAGGAGUGAUGAAAUUGAAGAAGCUCUUUUAUCAUUGAUUCAGAAACGUGUUGUCGUGUUAUUUACGGUUACAGUGGACUUCGUGGCCAGUGAUUCAAGGGGGAGAAGGUGAAUUGGAAUCGGCCGAGGUUUGCUGGUUCAUCACUAUGUUCAUUGUAAUGGCUGUGGUUAUUGCAAAUGUAUAACUUGUACUGUAACUUAAUGUGGAUGUAGCAAAAUUGUACAAAACGGUUUGUUCCUAUACACAAUAAACAAAAUACAUGUCUUUUG